Molecule: long non-coding RNA, 1694 nt
Filed under: Glycine max (soybean)
Lineage: Eukaryota; Viridiplantae; Streptophyta; Magnoliopsida; Fabales; Fabaceae
Description: long non-coding RNA (GMAX_LNC001805)
Source: RNAcentral
UACAGAUGAUACAUGAGAAUUCAAUGAGUUAGGAACAGGUACUGCAUAAUAAAACUUCACAUAAGCAUUUUGGUACAUGAAACACAAGUCAUACAUAUAAUUUACUCAAAUAAAAUUCAAUGUAUAUUGAUGUUCUCCUUUGGGUGACACACCAACACACAACAUACAAACAUGAUGAUGCUAAUAAAAUUUUAACAUUAUUUGACAAUAAAAUAUGAACCAAUUAGUAGUAUCUAUUUCCUUUGGGUAUAUAAAUAAAACUAAUGAUACACACAAAUCACCUACAAUAAUAUUCAUUAAUUAUAAGAACAACUAAUCAAUCUUUGGGCGAUCCAUAAAUGCCUUAUAACAAUGAAUUUUAAUUACCCAUAAUCCAACAAUCAUAUAAUUUAACAUCCAUUAUUCUAUGAGUAAUUGAAAUAAUCAUUAAUUUGGAAUUAAAUAACCUUACAAAUUUGGCCACUUUGGUGACUAACAAAUUUAACAUACAUUUAAUUCCAACCAAAUAUAUAUGGCCUGCACAUACUUAUUGCUAUUAACAAUUCAUAGCCAUUCCAUUAAUUCCAUUCUAGGCCAUAAAAUAAUUUUCACAUUUAUUUGUAUUUUGCAUUCAAACACAUUCAAAGGAAUAUGUAACAUAUACAUACUUACUGUUACCAAUAAUUUCAAAACAUUCACAUUAAUUAUAAGACAUAAACUUUCAAUCCUUCAAUAAUGUUCAACAAUAACAUUCGAAAGAAAAAGAAGGCAGGUGGGAUUGCAAAUAACAAACAAAGAUUGCAAAUAGCAAUUUUCAUAAUAUUCAUUCAUCCUGCAAGAUAUUUGGUACGCGUACGUUUUCCUUUUUGAAAGCAUUAUAAUUAAAAGCAAUCAUACGUACGCUGCGCAACUUCUAAAAAAAUAUAGAAAUUAAAGAUAACCUAUUGUUACAGCCACGCAGCUUUUCAAAAUAAAACAACUCGUGAUGGCGGAAAUAUUUUUUUUUUUUGCUUUUCAUUCCCUUUCUCCAAAAUGUAAUUUCCAAAAAUUCUAUAGCUUUCAUGGCUUUCCUUCUCAUGAAAUUUUAUAUAUCUAGAAUUUCAUACUUUGCAGCGGAAAAUAUAAUUAACACGAAAGGCACGCUAUCAAAACAUGUAAUUGAAAAUACAUGUAACAUAAAUUAAAAAUCCCUAAAUUUCAUAAUUAGGGUUUAUGCAUAAUUGGGAGAAAUUAAGUCAUUCUUGGAGAAUCAUAAAUUUCAUAACACAGGCUCUGAUACCACAUGUAAAAAAUUCUUAAGGGUUUCCUAGACUAUCAAUUAUAGAAAACCAAUAGGAUCUUGAAAUUUAUGGUUCUCACAAACAAUCAAUAAAGAAUAAUAGAUAAUGAUGUGUACCUUUCUCCAUAGGAACUUCUCUCUGGUGCACUUUGAUUUCCUUGAAAAUGAGAGAAAUAGGAUUUCACUUCCUUUGGCCUUUCUUUUCUGUCUCUCUCCGUUCGUGAUGGCUAUGGGUGAGAAAAGAGCACUUUCUGGUCAUGAAGGGGACCUUAUUUCACGUUAGUGGGUAUUAAGCCCCUUUUAUAACCACUACUCCCAUCAAGUAGCAGUUAACCUAGAAACUUCUCCUAUUAAGCCCAAUUACAAUUUAGCCCUUAAUCGUUAAUUAUUUAUUUAUUAGUCCCUACUAAGUUAUAUGCCUCUUACAUGAGACAUU